GGAUUGUGGCUCAGUGGUACAGCACUUGCCUAGCAUGUGUGAGGCACUGGGUUUGAUCCUCAGCACCA
This 68-nucleotide transfer RNA is filed under the name Marmota monax (woodchuck). RNAcentral describes it as "tRNA.Ala". The record is from RNAcentral. Lineage: Eukaryota; Metazoa; Chordata; Mammalia; Rodentia; Sciuridae.